AUACCCGCUGAACUUGAGCAUAUCAAUAAGCGGAGGAAAAGAAACCAACAGGGAUUGCCUCAGUAACGGCGAGUGAAGCGGCAAUAGCUCAAAUUUGAAAUCUGGCUCUUUUAGGGUCCGAAUUGUAAUUUGUAGAGGAUGUUUCGGCUUACGCCCCGGUCUAAGUUCCUUGGAACAGGACGUCACAGAGGGUGAGAAUCCCGUUUGUGGCCGGCGGCUUCCGCCAUGUGAAACUCCUUCGACGAGUCGAGUUGUUUGGGAAUGCAGCUCUAAAUGGGAGGUAAAUUUCUUCUAAAGCUAAAUACUGGCCAGAGACCGAUAGCGCACAAGUAGAGUGAUCGAAAGAUGAAAAGCACUUUGGAAAGAGAGUUAAAAAGUACGUGAAAUUGUUGAAAGGGAAGCGCUUGCGACCAGACUUGCCCGCAGUUGCUCAGCCGGUCCUUCGGCCGGUGUACUCUUCUGCGGUCAGGCCAGCAUCAGUUUGGGCGGUUGGAUAAAGGCCUUGGGAAUGUGGCUCUCUUCGGGGAGUGUUAUAGCCCUUGGUGCAAUACAAUCAGCCUGGACUGAGGCCCGCGCUUCGGCUAGGAUGCUGGCGUAAUGGUCGUAAGCGGCCCGUCUUG
Molecule: ribosomal RNA, 620 nt
Filed under: Acanthohelicospora guianensis
Lineage: Eukaryota; Fungi; Ascomycota; Dothideomycetes; Tubeufiales; Tubeufiaceae
Description: eukaryotic LSU rRNA
Rfam family: Eukaryotic large subunit ribosomal RNA
Source: RNAcentral